RNAcentral lists this ribosomal RNA (236 nucleotides) under uncultured bacterium. Its description in RNAcentral is "partial 16S ribosomal RNA". It matches the Rfam family "Bacterial small subunit ribosomal RNA", at positions 28 to 265 of the family's 1533-position model. The record is from RNAcentral.
GACGAACGCUGGCGGCGUGCUUAACACAUGCAAGUCGAGCGGUAAGGCCCUUUCGGGGGUACACGAGCGGCGAACGGGUGAGUAACACGUGGGUGACCUGCCCUCAGCUCUGGGAUAAGCCUGGGAAACCGGGUCUAAUACCGGAUAUGACUCCAUGACGCAUGUUGUGGGGUGGAAAGCCUUGUGCGGCUGAGGAUGGGCCCGCGGCCUAUCAGCUUGUUGGUGGGGUGAUGGCC